Molecule: long non-coding RNA, 2060 nt
Filed under: Cricetulus griseus (Chinese hamster)
Lineage: Eukaryota; Metazoa; Chordata; Mammalia; Rodentia; Cricetidae
Description: lncRNA (ENSCGRG00015036620.1)
Source: RNAcentral
UUGGCAGCAGUCUCUGUAGUCAUGCAAAGAACACAGUGGGAAAUGUAAACCCUGACUACAUUCUUUCAAUGGCAGGUGAGUGUUACCAUUAUAAUAAAUCACUUGCUGUACUUUUCCUGCUUCUUAUUUUUCACUGAUGACUAGAAUGGAAGAGAAUAGUCAAUACUAAGGGAAAUUAGCUAAUGAUGUUUUCUCCCCAACCUGUCUGGAGACUGUAAACCAGGGGCUUUGUGAGCAGAGUAACAUCUGAAAGCAGCCUUCAAUGAUCUGCCUUUCAUUUCCACUCUUUUAGUGCCAGUGCCUCCCCAAGUCACCCAGAACCAGAAAAAGGUACCAUGGCAUUUAGACUUUGUCUCUGCAACAUCUGAUGCCAUGCAGCCAGUGACCAUGGGUUCCUUAGUGUUCCUAGGAGGCUUGGGAGGGUGAUGGGUGGGGUGUCAGUGAUAACAGCCAACCUAAGCAGUUAAGAUGAGCUUCACCAUGGCUGUGUGUCUCCGGAGCAUUUAACAGCACAACCUGGACCAGUUUAAGACCCAGUCCUUAAUGGUAUCUUACAGAAAGGCUAUUAUUAAGCAAAGAAUUCAUGUUGGAUCAAUUGCCUGUCCCACGUUACCAUAUUUCAGUUAGGAGCUAACAGCUUCCAUUAAUGUUUGAAGCUGUGAUCUUUGGAAGAUUUUAAAAAUACAACCAUAAUGUGAAUUGGGUUAUAUAAGCUUUACAGCACAGAUAGAGAUAAGGGAUAGAAACUAUGUGGGAAAUCACAUAAUCUCUCACUCCAGCCCAUCCUCUAGAGUUUGGAAAUCUGAUGAGUUCAUAUAUUCAAAGCUUUUGAUGGUACCUAGUAUGUAGGAAAUACUUGUGAAUGCUGACUCUGCUGUUGUGGUUGAGGCAGGAUGGAUGUGAGGGAGGUGAGACUAUGCUGGUUAAGCAGCAGGUGUGUGGCCUACUGAGGGGAGAGUUGGGCUCACUCCUUUGCACUCAUAGUCUUGGGCUCCCCCCAGCUGAGGCCAGCCUCCGCAGGACCAAUGUGCUCAUUUCUGCUGCAGCAGUUAAAUCAAACCAGCCAUCUUGCAGCCCAGGGUUUGUAAAUACUUGUUUGGGAUUUAUGGGUGCUUUGAGUUUCACAAGGGCUGAACCUUGACCAUUUAUCUGCUGAUUCAAGUUUUCUAGCCACACUUAAGUAAUAAAAAAAAAAAAAAAACUUACAAAGGUCAGAAUCUAGUCUGGAUGGCUUGUGGUAUUUGGUGGUAGAGAACAAGUUAUUAUAAACUAUAGAGGGAAAGAACACAUAGGAUGCUGUUGGCUUAGAUUCUUGCGAAGAGUCUCUGUCCCUUGUUUUAUGGUACGUUAGUGUAAAGCAUCUGUACUCACCACCACACAAGGCCUCCCUUCUGUCUGAGACAGUUAGGGUAUUAAUCUGUUGUAUCUCUGUUUGUCUACCUAUUUGGACACAAUUGGGAAGUUUCUAUUGCAUACAAGGACAAGUGGGUGAUGGUAAAGUUGCCACUUCUGAAUUGAAUGAAGGGCCUGUGUCUACUAUGCAAAUUCUGGCUCACACAUGCUUGCAAAGACUUAAGGAGCCUCAGAAGAAGAGUGGACAGGUUGAGUUCCAGGCUGUUAGCAGGAGAUGCUGGACUUUACAAGUGUCGGCGUGGUUGAAGCAGCAGCCUGCAUGUAUGGACUGUCAUCAGUGCCUCGCCCAGAGAUGCCUGGCCUUCAUCCAAAGGGACCCUGCUGCUCCAAGCCCUGCAAGCAGCACCCUCGCUGUGGCUCCUUUGUGUUGAAUAUGUUGGACUCUGCCAUAGACUGACCCCUUUGUCUGGCUGCUGUGGUUUGUAAUGCCUUGACAUGUUACAUUUCUUUCCCAUUUGGAUGAAUGAAAAUAAAUGCUAUGUAUAAAAUAGGAAUGGGCUGAACUAUUCUGUGCAGGACUCACUCUGCUGAAAGAAGUUUCAGUGCCAGCUGCAGAGAUGGCUCAGUGGGUAAAAAGAGCUCAUUGUUCUGAGAGUGCCUGGGUUCAUUUCCCAGUAUCACCAAUAGCUGCCUAUAACAACUCCAGG